ACGGAGGGUGCAAGCGUUAUCCGGAUUCACUGGGUUUAAAGGGUGCGUAGGCGGGUAUUUAAGUCAGUGGUGAAAUCCUAGAGCUUAACUCUAGAACUGCCAUUGAUACUAUUUAUCUUGAAUAUUGUGGAGGUAAGCGGAAUAUGUCAUGUAGCGGUGAAAUGCUUAGAUAUGACAUAGAACACCUAUUGCGAAGGCAGCUUACUACGCAUAUAUUGACGCUGAGGCACGAAAGCGUGGGGAUCAAACAGG
RNAcentral lists this ribosomal RNA (252 nucleotides) under uncultured bacterium. RNAcentral describes it as "partial 16S ribosomal RNA". It matches the Rfam family "Bacterial small subunit ribosomal RNA", at positions 525 to 776 of the family's 1533-position model. The record is from RNAcentral.